GAUGAACGCUGACAGAAUGCUUAACACAUGCAAGUCAACUUGAACUUCGGUUUGGGUGGCGGACGGGUGAGUAACGCGUAAAGAACUUGCCUCACAGCUAGGGACAACAUUUGGAAACGAAUGCUAAUACCUGAUAUUAUGAUUAUAUGGCAUCGUAUAAUUAUGAAAGCUAUAUGCGCUGUGAGAGAGCUUUGCGUCCCAUUAGCUAGUUGGAGAGGUAACAGCUCACCAAGGCGAUGAUGGGUAGCCGGCCUGAGAGGGUGAUCGGCCACAAGGGGACUGGGACACGGCCCUUACUCCUACGGGAGGCAGCAGUGGGGAAUAUUGGACAAGGGACCGAGAGUCUUGUCCAGCAAUUCUGUGUGCACGAUGAAGUUUUUCGGAAUGUAAAGUGCUUUCAGUUGGGGAGAAAAAAAUGACGGUACCAACAGAAGAAGUGACGGCUAAAUACGUG
Molecule: ribosomal RNA, 454 nt
Filed under: uncultured bacterium
Lineage: Bacteria
Description: partial 16S ribosomal RNA
Rfam family: Bacterial small subunit ribosomal RNA
Source: RNAcentral